CGGCGGACGGGUGAGUAACACGUGGGCAACCUGCCUGUAAGACUGGGAUAACUCCGGGAAACCGGGGCUAAUACCGGAUAACUCUUUUCCUCACAUGAGGAAAAGCUGAAAGAUGGUUUCGGCUAUCACUUACAGAUGGGCCCGCGGCGCAUUAGCUAGUUGGUGAGGUAACGGCUCACCAAGGCCACGAUGCGUAGCCGACCUGAGAGGGUGAUCGGCCACACUGGGACUGAGACACGGCCCAGACUCCUACGGGAGGCAGCAGUAGGGAAUCUUCCGCAAUGGACGAAAGUCUGACGGAGCAACGCCGCGUGAGUGAUGAAGGUUUUCGGAUCGUAAAACUCUGUUGUCAGGGAAGAACAAGUACCGGAGUAACUGCCGGUACCUUGACGGUACCUGACCAGAAAGCCACGGCUAACUACGUGCCAGCAGCCGCGGUAAUACGUAGGUGGCAAGCGUUGUCCGGAAUUAUUGGGCGUAAAGCGCGCGCAGGCGGUUCCUUAAGUCUGAUGUGAAAGCCCCCGGCUCAACCGGGGAGGGUCAUUGGAAACUGGGGAACUUGAGUGCAGAAGAGAAGAGUGGAAUUCCACGUGUAGCGGUGAAAUGCGUAGAGAUGUGGAGGAACACCAGUGGCGAAGGCGACUCUUUGGUCUGUAACUGACGCUGAGGCGCGAAAGCGUGGGGAGCAAACAGGAUUAGAUACCUGGUAGUCCACGCCGUAAACGAUGAGUG
RNAcentral lists this ribosomal RNA (732 nucleotides) under bacterium MS-AsV-25. RNAcentral's name for it is "bacterial SSU rRNA". It matches the Rfam family "Bacterial small subunit ribosomal RNA", at positions 96 to 815 of the family's 1533-position model. The record is from RNAcentral.